CCUACGGGAGGCAGCAGUAGGGAAUAUUGGACAAUGGGCGCAAGCCUGAUCCAGCCAUGCCGCGUGAGUGAAGAAGGCCCUCGGGUUGUAAAGCUCUUUUGUUGGGGAAGAAAAGCAUCCGGUUAAUACCCGGGUGUUCUGACGGUACCCAAAGAAUAAGCACCGGCUAACUUCGUGCC
This 179-nucleotide ribosomal RNA is filed under the name uncultured bacterium. RNAcentral's name for it is "partial 16S ribosomal RNA". It matches the Rfam family "Bacterial small subunit ribosomal RNA", at positions 338 to 509 of the family's 1533-position model. The record is from RNAcentral.